AGAGUUUGAUCCUGGCUCAGAACGAACGCUGGCGGCGUGCCUAACACAUGCAAGUCGAGCGCGAAUGGAGCAAUCCUAGUAGAGCGGCGCACGGGUGCGUAACACGUGGAUAAUCUGCCUGGGUGUCUGGGAUAACCAGUCGAAAGAUUGGCUAAUACCGGAUAAGCCCCCGGGAGCUUCGGCUCCUGAGGGAAAAGGUGGCCUCUGUAUACAAGCUAUUACAUCCAGAUGAGUCCGCGGCCCAUCAGCUAGUUGGCGGGGUAAUGGCCCACCAAGGCAACGACGGGUAGCUGGUCUGAGAGGACGAUCAGCCACACUGGAACUGAGACACGGUCCAGACUCCUACGGGAGGCAGCAGUGGGGAAUUUUGCGCAAUGGGCGAAAGCCUGACGCAGCAACGCCGCGUGUGUGAUGAAGGUCUUCGGAUUGUAAAGCACUUUCGACCGGGACGAAAACCCUGAGGCUAACAUCCUCAGGCUUGACGGUACCGGGAGAAGAAGCACCGGCUAACUCUGUGCCAGCAGCCGCGGUAAUACAGAGGGUGCAAGCGUUGUUCGGAAUUAUUGGGCGUAAAGCGCGUGUAGGCGGCUUUGCAAGUCGGGUGUGAAAGCCCUCAGCUCAACUGAGGAAGUGCGCCCGAAACUGCAGAGCUUGAGUGCCGGAGAGGGUGGCGGAAUUCCCCAAGUAGAGGUGAAAUUCGUAGAUAUGGGGAGGAACACCGGUGGCGAAGGCGGCCACCUGGACGGUAACUGACGCUGAGCGCGAAAGCGUGGGGAGCAAACAGGAUUAGAUACCCUAGUAGUCC
Molecule: ribosomal RNA, 805 nt
Filed under: uncultured bacterium
Lineage: Bacteria
Description: bacterial SSU rRNA
Rfam family: Bacterial small subunit ribosomal RNA
Source: RNAcentral